ACUUACCAGCCCUUGACAUGUCCGGCUCACCACAGAGAUGUGGUUUUCCCUUCGGGGACCGGAACACAGGUGCUGCAUGGCUGUCGUCAGCUCGUGUCGUGAGAUGUUGGGUUAAGUCCCGCAACGAGCGCAACCCUCGCCCUUAGUUGCCAGCAUUUAGUUGGGCACUCUAAGGGGACUGCCGGUGAUAAGCCGAGAGGAAGGUGGGGAUGACGUCAAGUCCUCAUGGCCCUUACGGGCUGGGCUACACACGUGCUACAAUGGUGGUGACAGUGGGCAGCGAAGGAGCGAUCCCGAGCUAAUCUCCAAAAGCCAUCUCAGUUCGGAUUGCACUCUGCAACUCGAGUGCAUGAAGUGGAAUCGCUAGUAAUCGCGG
RNAcentral lists this ribosomal RNA (376 nucleotides) under Rhizobium sp. 100R. Its description in RNAcentral is "bacterial SSU rRNA". It matches the Rfam family "Bacterial small subunit ribosomal RNA", at positions 969 to 1347 of the family's 1533-position model. The record is from RNAcentral. Lineage: Bacteria; Pseudomonadati; Pseudomonadota; Alphaproteobacteria; Hyphomicrobiales; Rhizobiaceae.